Molecule: ribosomal RNA, 454 nt
Filed under: uncultured bacterium
Lineage: Bacteria
Description: bacterial SSU rRNA
Rfam family: Bacterial small subunit ribosomal RNA
Source: RNAcentral
ACUCCUACGGGAGGCAGCAGUGAGGAAUAUUGGUCAAUGGUCGCAAGACUGAACCAGCCAUGCCGCGUGCAGGAAGACGGUCCUAUGGAUUGUAAACUGCUUUUAUACAGGAAGAAACCCCUCCCACGUGUGGGAGCUUGACGGUACUGUAGGAAUAAGGAUCGGCUAACUCCGUGCCAGCAGCCGCGGUAAUACGGAGGAUCCAAGCGUUAUCCGGAAUCAUUGGGGUUUAAAGGGUCCGUAGGCGGCCUUAUAAGUCAGUGGUGAAAGCCCAUCGCUCAACGAUGGAACUGCCAUUGAUACUGUAAGGCUUGAAUUAUUGUGAAGUAACUAGAAUAUGUAGUGUAGCGGUGAAAUGCUUAGAUAUUACAUGGAAUACCAAUUGCGAAGGCAGGUUACUAACAAUGGAUUGACGCUGAUGGACGAAAGACGUGGGGUAGGCGAACAGGAUUAG